GGUUUGCUAGCGAGGUGAAAAUGAUUAAGUGUUGGUAAAAUCAAGCUCUUUAGAAUAGUUAUUCUUCCUAGAGGUGUAAGGUCUCUCAGAGUCCACAUUUUCAUUACUUUGUCAAUUGUUUUUAUUUUAUCUUUAGAAUUCUUUUUCACCAUUUCUGCUUUAUUAUGUUGAAAUAGAAUGCCUAAGAGUACAAAUGGCUUUUGAGUCCAGUCAAGGUUGUAUUCUCCGCAGUAUUGCAAACUUGAAUAUUGUUUCGAAUAGUCCAGAGAUC
Long non-coding RNA from Haliotis rubra (blacklip abalone), 271 nucleotides. RefSeq lists it as uncharacterized. NCBI's taxonomy places the organism in Eukaryota, Metazoa, Mollusca, Gastropoda, Lepetellida, Haliotidae. The record is from RefSeq and is a predicted model, not a curated record. The transcript has 3 exons.